GAUGAACGCUGGCGGCGUGCCUAAUACAUGCAAGUCGAGCGAACAGACGAGGAGCUUGCUCCUCUGACGUUAGCGGCGGACGGGUGAGUAACACAUGGAUAACCUACCUAUAAGACUGGGAUAACUUCGGGAAACCGGAGCUAAUACCGGAUAAUAUAUUGAACCGCAUGGUUCAAUAGUGAAAGACGGUUUUGCUGUCACUUAUAGAUGGAUCCGCGCCGCAUUAGCUAGUUGGUAAGGUAACGGCUUACCAAGGCAACGAUGCGUAGCCGACCUGAGAGGAUGAUCGGCCACACUGGAACUGAGACACGGUCCAGACUCCUACGGGAGGCAGCAGUAGGGAAUCUUCCGCAAUGGGCGAAAGCCUGACGGAGCAACGCCGCGUGAGUGAUGAAGGUCUUCGGAUCGUAAAACUCUGUUAUUAGGGAAGAACAAAUGUGUAAGUAACUAUGCACGUCUUGACGGUACCUAAUCAGAAAGCCACGGCUAACUACGUG
This 497-nucleotide ribosomal RNA is filed under the name uncultured bacterium. Its description in RNAcentral is "partial 16S ribosomal RNA". It matches the Rfam family "Bacterial small subunit ribosomal RNA", at positions 28 to 507 of the family's 1533-position model. The record is from RNAcentral.